GUGUCAGGAAGCCCGGGGUGGCUGGGAAGACACCCAGGCCUCUUAAGUCACAUGGCGCUUCCUCACCACGGAAACAGACCAGUUCUGAGGCAAUCCCUGACUGCUCUCUCCCUCCCCUAAGGGAGGUGGGCUCUUGUCUAGCCCUGGGGUCUCCUGAAGGCCCUGAGCUAUGGCGUUGUCACCAACACCACAGGCAGCUCCUAAGUGCAGGUGCAGGACUCGUGGAAGAAACAGCAGAUGAAAACUUCCUCUGCAAAGGCUGCGCCCCUGAGAAGCCAGUUUCCUUUUUUAGACAUGUCCUGUCCAUCCAUGCAGGCCCUUGGUGGGCAGGGGUUGAUCUAAUAAGAUAGAAACAGGGCAGCAGGCUCACUGCCAGCCAUGCAGGACUGUGCUUUGCCCUCAAGACGUCCCUGUGCUCUUCGCCAUGCGGAUCUGGGCCCCGGUUUGCGGCCUGAACCGGGCUAACAGUGGCGGGCUGGGCUGUUCUUAUUUUAGUCGUGGUGUGCCACGGAAUCCAAGGUGCCUGACAAUCAUUGACGGGACCAUUAGUUUUGUCCCGGGUCUCCCUCACAAAAGGCAGCAGAAGUGCUGCCAGCUCUCGGAGGCAGACGCUGUCCUGUUUACGAGCUUAGACUUAAUGAGCUAUGGUGUGAUACUUAAUUCUGUAACACCUAGCGGGAGCCACGCUGGGCUUACAGUUAGCUGUGUGUAACAGAGGGGAAAUCACGGCUGUGAUGACAUCACUCGUUGACUUACCUGUGACUUGACUCUACUGGCACCCUCCUUAACAUGCGAGACAGGCCGGUUCCUAACCCGUGGUCCAUACUAUGGGAUUCCCAGGCUCAGGUUGCUUUUAGGGACCUCCUGUAUGGCUUCCACUUGUGUCUUACUUCUCUGGCUCCAGAUGCAGGGAGACAGUUUUUUUAUUUCUUUUUUUUUUAUUAUUAUUACUGUAAAAGAAAAAAAACCCCACAGGGUAAAACUUACCAUUUUAACUAUUUUUUUAAAGAUAUAAACCUUAUUUUAUGUAUUUUUUUAAAGAUGUAAAUCUUAUUUUAUGUAUAUGAGUGUUCUAUCUGCAUUUACACCUGCCAGAAGAGGGAAUCAGUUCACAUUAUAGAUGGUUGUGAGCCACCACGUGGUUGCUGGGAAUUGAACUCAUGACCUUUGGAAGAGCAGACAGUGCUCUUAACCACUGAGCCAUCUCUCCAUCUUAACUAUUUAAAAAUGUACAGGUCAGUAGUGGCUAGUAAUCCACUACUGCUUAUCUCCCCCCCCCUCAUUCUUCCUCACCCCUGCCCCACUCUCACCCCCAAGAAUCUGGCACCCAGGCUUUUCUGGAACUUGUGAUUUUCCCAUCUUAGCCUCAUGAGUGUGAAGGUGACAGUUGUGUGAAACCAUGGCCAGUCCCCAUAUAUUCUUCUCAAAGGAAAAAUUACUUAUUUAUUUUAUGUGUAAGGGUGCUUUGCCUACGUGUAUGUCCGUGCAUCCGGUGCCUGCAGAGGCUGGAAGAGGGCAUCGGAUCUCCCCAAACUGGAUUACAGACAAUCAUGAGUGAGCCUCUUCGUGGGUGUUAGGAUUGAACCCAGGUCCUCUGGAAGAGUAGCCAGUGCUCUUAACUGCUGAGCCACCUCUUCAGCAUCCCCCUUCCUCUCUUUGUUGUGCAGCCAGUGCCACAGAGGGUAGAAAGGCUAUGCCUCAGGAGAGGUGCCAGCCGGACCUCCUGAAGCAGAGACUGGUCCUGGCCUCCUUUGGUUCCAUGCUGCAGGAUGGUAACGCACAGUUCCCAUCCUCCUGUCUCAUACUUGCUCCUUAAUUUCCCUCUAGGAGACCCCUCCUCCUCACCCCUCUGGGAAGAGGUGGCAUGUGUCCCAGGCCUGUCUGGCUCAUCGGGGUCCUCUGGACAGCACCUGGCUGGGUUAAAGAUAGACAAGGAGCCAGUGAAAGUAAAGCUUCUGCUUGUCCUGGAACUGGGGGGUCAGACUGUCCUGGGGAUGCUCAGCUGAGAGGAUGUGAGCCUGGGGAUGCUGGCAAACCAGAGUAAACCUGCUGGCAAGGGAAAACUCACCCAGCCAGCAUCGAGAACAGAAGAAAGACACUCCGGAAGACUGGGUGUAGACACAAAUCUCACCUUCAGUUGGGGAAGCCUGUCACGUCUGCUUCCUUUCCUUCCUCCCUGUUAAGAAUAUCCUAUUUUAAUAAUUGCAUAUGGGUGUUUAGCCUGCAUUUGCUUCUGUGUACCACAUGCUUGCCUGGUACUCUGGGAGGCGAGAAGAGGGUGUCAGGUCCUCUAGAACUGAAAUUACAGAGCACUGUGAACUACCAUGGAGGUGCUGGGAAUUGAACCCAGAUACUCUUAACAGCUGAGCCAUAGCUGCAGCAUCCCCUCCACCCUCCCUUUGACAGAGUUCCAUGUGGUCCAGGCUGGCCUCAAACUUGCUGUAGAGUUAAGGGCGACCUUGAACUUCCGAUCCUCUAGCUUUCACCUGCAGUGACAGGCAGGCAUGCACCACUACACCCAGUUUCCUUGGGUGCUGGGGACUCUGCUCAGGGCUUUAAGCAUGCCGGGCAAGCACUGUGCUGAGAUGCCCCAACGGCCUCCACCAUGCCACUUACUUUUCCACAUUAGGUGCCUGAAUGAGGCUUUUGUACAUCGCAAACCUAUAUCCUUGGUUAAACAGACAAUGAAGGCUACAAAGGGGAGGUUGUGGUUGGGUGGACGGGAAUGGCCGUAGGACAAGAAAAUGCCUUCAGUAUCACCCUCAUUUCCUUAUUCACCAGCCCAGACCUGACUUCCAUGCUGGAGCUUUUUCCUAGGAGCUGCCAUCAUAUUGCAGAGGAGGAAGAUGAGGUGUGGUGAUGUGAAGGUUUCCAUAGGGACCUUUCCAGAGAUGCAAAGAUAGGCUUCUCCAUCAGCCCAGGGCCAGAAGUAAGACAACAAGAUGAAGGGACAGGAGUCCCUUAAAACUUAAAAAAUUUUUUUUUGACACUUAGUGUCUAUGUUUGGUGGGGGUACUUUUGGCAUUUAGCACGUGUAUUUGGUGGGGGAGGGGGACCAUGCUCUGUGCCACGUGGAGGUCAGACAGGCACAUGGAGACACAGCUGAGAACUCAUGUCUCAUCCACAAGCAAGGAGGCAGAGAGAGACAGAGACAGACAGAAUCAGAGACAGACAGACACAGGGACAGAGACAGAGUCAGACAGAGAGACAGACAAAGAUAGACAGACAGACACCACAGACAGACACACAGACACAGAUGGAUAGACUGACGGAUGGACAGGGAGAAACAUGCACACAGAGAGACACAGAGACACACAACCACAGACACAGAGAGACAUACGCACAGCCACAGACGCAGAGAGACAUACACACAGAGACACAGAAAUACUCAGAGAGACACAGAGAGACACAGAGUAACAUAGACCAAGACUGACUGACCGACCGAGUUUGACUGAGUCCUACAGAUGGAGACAGAGACUAGAAAGAGUGUGAGUCUUUUGACACCUCACAGCCCACUCUCAGUGACAGUCCUAAUCUCUCCCACACAACGCCACCAACUGGGGCCAAGUAUUCAAUCCUAUGAGUGCAUGGGAGCCAUUCUCAUCCAAACCACCGCAGGGGCUGUGGGGAGGGCCGCCUGUCUGCUAGAGGGAAGAAAAGUUCUCUCGAAAAGACCCUAGUGGUGGGAGCUGCAGCCUUGGGAGGGGCGGGCACAGGAGUGUGUUGGCAAGGAAGAGGAGCAGGUCCCGGCUGCCUAUGCUCCAGUGAGCUCCUGGCCACACUGGGGCUAUGGAUUUAAGUGUGCAGCCCUCUGGAGGAAGGCAGGUGUUCUGUCUGGAACUGUUUUGCCGGGGGAAGAUGGGGAGAUGCGGGAGGUGCUGCCGCAUGAAGAUGCUACAAAUACGUGGGAGUUUUGCAGUUACAGCACUCCUGAUGUCGGGGGCUUCGUAGAGGUUCUGGUCUGCCGAACGUAUUGAGGUGGUGGAGCAGAAGAGUGUGCUCGUGGGCUGCCAGGGUCAUCACACCGAGUAAAUAACAGAUAUCUAAGGAUACUGGAAGGCGGUUUCUCCUUGGAGAAGGGGUGCGCAGACACAGUUUCAGAUCUAUGUAAAUCCACGUGGCUAGAGUUGUCAGUGUAUGGACAUGUACUUGCAGCGUUUGGCCUCCGAGGUCCCAGAAGCAACGGAGCUCACGGUGCUCCUCCUGGCUCUUGGCCUCUGUAACCAUUGUCGAUUACGAUGAGCCAAAGCUUCCUGGAGGAGAUGCUGCUCCAAGGUGAUCCUGGAACAGGUGCUGUAAGACAAAGCCAACAGAAGCCGAAUUCCUGAUGGACCUGAGCGCCUGUCUUGUCUCUCCUGUUGCCGUGCAGAAUGGCAGGAGCGAUUCCGCAGAGCACCCACGAAGACAUCUACGAGUUUUACGCAGGCAGUGCUAAUCUGCCAGGCUGCAUUUCUUCUUAAUUCACGUGACUUUGGCUGGUCUCUUUCUGUCUUUGUCUCUGUCUCUCUGUCUCUGUGUCUGUAUGCAUGAAUUCGCAUGUGGGAAUGUUGUUUAUUUCACUGGCAUCUUGAUUCUUUUAAAGUUUCUGUGACCUUUUCCCAAACAAAGGAUUUGAAGCCUUGUUGUAUUUA
Molecule: long non-coding RNA, 4631 nt
Organism: Meriones unguiculatus (Mongolian gerbil)
Lineage: Eukaryota; Metazoa; Chordata; Mammalia; Rodentia; Muridae
Exons: 3
Source: RefSeq, a predicted model, not a curated record